UAUCAGGUUAUAUUCCAUUAUUACAUGGAAG
RNAcentral lists this non-coding RNA (31 nucleotides) under Mus musculus (house mouse). The record is from RNAcentral. Lineage: Eukaryota; Metazoa; Chordata; Mammalia; Rodentia; Muridae.